RNAcentral lists this ribosomal RNA (157 nucleotides) under Beauveria bassiana. Its description in RNAcentral is "5.8S ribosomal RNA". It matches the Rfam family "5.8S ribosomal RNA". From Rfam's summary of the family: 5.8S ribosomal RNA (5.8S rRNA) is a component of the large subunit of the eukaryotic ribosome. It is transcribed by RNA polymerase I as part of the 45S precursor that also contains 18S and 28S rRNA. Lineage: Eukaryota; Fungi; Ascomycota; Sordariomycetes; Hypocreales; Cordycipitaceae. The record is from RNAcentral.
GAAUCAAAACUUUCAACAACGGAUCUCUUGGCUCUGGCAUCGAUGAAGAACGCAGCGAAACGCGAUAAGUAAUGUGAAUUGCAGAAUCCAGUGAAUCAUCGAAUCUUUGAACGCACAUUGCGCCCGCCAGCAUUCUGGCGGGCAUGCCUGUUCGAGG